Molecule: long non-coding RNA, 569 nt
Organism: Solanum dulcamara
Lineage: Eukaryota; Viridiplantae; Streptophyta; Magnoliopsida; Solanales; Solanaceae
Exons: 2
Source: RefSeq, a predicted model, not a curated record
AAUAUAUUGACUUUCUUCUUCCCUAACAUUUUUCCCUAAAUCAAUUUUGGCAUUAGGUUGAUAAAAGAUGUUUUUACGUUCUUCUUCAACACUUCAACGAGGAGAUUUUGACAUCAUCUACUUCAACACUACAUGGACUUUGGGUUUUGAAGUGUUACGUUUCUACUUCUGUUUACUUCAGCCAAAAUCUCUCUCAUUACAACACCCAUUUCAGUUGCAGGAAGAGCGUGCAAAAAAGGAGGGUGAGGAAGAAAUUAGACUUAUUGAAGAAGCAUGUAUACAACACAUCAUCUUCAAAUGAGCAAUCUCAAGAAGACAAUCAAGCUUAUGAGAAUGAAAGUGGUGAUGACUCUAAUAGCAUAAAUAUAAGUGAUACUAACCAUGAUAAUGUGAAUGAAAUUGACUAUAAUGAGGAUUUGAGAUAGUUGAUAGUACUAUUUAGAAUUCAAAUUUGAGUUGUAUUUUGUUUUUGUCCAUUUAAGAAUCAAACACUAUUGAUCCGGAUGUUAUGGAUUAUGUUUUUUGUUGGAUGAAAAGGACUAUAAUGUGAAUUGUAUUUUUUGUUGGUU